GGAAGCACUUGGACUGGGGACAAGAAAGUACAGCCAAGUGUUCUGCCGCUGCUGUCCCAGCACCCACUCACUUUGUACAGGAAGGACGUCAGGAAACUACUCCCUGCAGAGGCCAUGGGCAGGCCAACUUCCAGUGCAUUCUCCACUCCAAUGCACUGAGGAGACUUUACUGGCUCUGUUCUGGACACAACUGGACUCCCUUACUCCAGAGCCAUAUCAUAGGUUGGCUUCUGUGGCAGUUUUGUCAAGUGUCUCCAAGGCUGACCCUGAAGAAUGCUGCCUCCUAGGAGGAUCUAUGGAGAACUCUACUGGCCAGAUUCACUCUCUACCCACCCAGAAUUUGUCACCCUCCCCCCAGGGGUCUUGGACAAGAAAUGAGUGAUCUGAUUCCCACACUUGAUGCUCUGAGGAUACGGGACACAUCUGAGAAGCCCAGGCACCUUUUCCAUGCGACUCCGAUGAGCCAUGACUGAUGCAAACGGUAGAACUAAGCUGGUAACUCGCCCUUGAGAUGCAUCUGCAGGGGAGUCAGACAAGGUGCUAAGGUGCCAAAUGGCUUAUGAUACUGAGAGCCUGCGGGGAUCUUCUGGCACACUUCACUGUAAAACUGUAGCGAUGUGGAUUUGUGCCAGUAAAUAUGAAGGAGAGCUGAAAAUAGCAAGGGGUUUCUCGUCUUUAAGUUAUUGUCUGCAACCACCAGGCAGAACUCUCUGGGCUCUACAAGGCAGUCCAGGGGGAGUCACAUCUAGAAUACUGGAACAUUUUCCUAGGACGCCCCCUCCCUAAAGAAGGAGAACCCUCCAGGAGUGGUUAUGCCCCCUCCUACAUCUCUGUUAAGAGGUAUAAAGUUAGUACAACCUUUGCCAAGGGCAAUCUGGCAGCAGAGACUGAACAACAAAGAUACCUCCUGAACCCAGCAUUGCCUGGGAGAGAUUUUUGAUUUUUUUCUGCUUUCUUUUCCUUACAGAUUCACUCAUACAAAAUGACCUAAACACAGUCAUUGCAGCACUGUUUGUAAAAGCAAAUGACUAAACACAAUCUAAAAGCUGAACAGUAGGAGAUCGGUUAAAUAAAUUAUAGGACAUCUGUGAGGCUGGGAAAGAUUGGAGUUAGCUUUCUAAACCCAUAUGGAGUGAUCUCUAAGGCGGGUGGUCUGGUAGAACAGGGCCAGUUCAGCAGAGUGCAGGGCCUGUGUUACCGGCAGCUGUGAGAUCUGUAAUGGACCAGUCUAGGUUGCAACUGAUUGAAUAUUCAGUUUUUGAAAGUGGCUAAGGAAAUGAGCCGCCUCCUAGGGAGGAAACUGGGUGGGAGAGAGGCAGGAGUGAGCUGACCUGCCUUGGUAUCUCUACUGUGUUUACUUACAGUAUGACUUACUCAAAGCUAAGCAGAGGGGUCCAAGCCUGCAGUCAUGGCGACCGCAUUUGCUCUUUUUCCCAUUCCUUUUCUUGUCUCUGCCUCACCUUCUGUCACAAGGAGAGGUUGCAGUGUCUGAGAGCACAGAUGGUGGAGUCAGGAGCCCUGGCUAUGCCUGUGUACAAGCUUAUCCCUCUGCAAACCUGAGCUGAAUCCUAUAGCCACCAGGGAGAAGAGGAGGCCUCCUGCUGAGAAGACUGAAGCAGAUCGUCUUUGGAAAGGCCACGGCCCCUCCAAAGCUGCUGGGAAGUCUGCCUUUACCUGCUCUAGGCCUGGCAUUCUACAUUCAGAAGGAAGUUGGGGUAGGGGGGCCAUGGUGAAACAGCUCAAACUUCAGAUGCAUCAUUUCCCUGUAGCUCAGGCAGGGCUGGCAGUUGUGUGGGUGUCCUUAUUUUCUCCCCACCGUAUUCUGUUCCCGCCAUAAGGAUGCAAAGUGAUUUCCCAGGCUAGA
Long non-coding RNA from Mesocricetus auratus (golden hamster), 1864 nucleotides. RefSeq lists it as uncharacterized. The record is from RefSeq and is a predicted model, not a curated record. The transcript has 2 exons. NCBI's taxonomy places the organism in Eukaryota, Metazoa, Chordata, Mammalia, Rodentia, Cricetidae.